UAUUGGUCAAUGGGCGGGAGCCUGAACCAGCCAAGUCGCGCGAGGGAAGACGGUCCUACGGAUUGUAAACCUCUUUUGCCGGGGAGCAACGGGGUCCCUGCGAGGGCCCAAUGAGAGUACCCGGAGAAAAAGCAUCGGCUAACUCCGAGCCAGCAGCCGCGGUAAUACGGAGGAUGCGAGCGGUAUCCGGAUUUAUUGGGGUUAAAGGGUGGGUAGGCGGGCUGUUAAAUCAGCGGUCAAAUGUCGGGGCUCAACCCCGGCCUGCCGUUGAAACUGGCGGCCUCGAGUGGGCGAGAAGUAUGCGGAAUGCGUGGUGUAGCGGUGAAAUGCAUAGAUAUCACGCAGAACUCCGAUUGCGAAGGCAGCGUACCGGCGCCCUACUGACGCUGAGGCACGAAAGCGUGGGUAUCGAACAGG
This 417-nucleotide ribosomal RNA is filed under the name uncultured bacterium. RNAcentral's name for it is "bacterial SSU rRNA". It matches the Rfam family "Bacterial small subunit ribosomal RNA", at positions 362 to 776 of the family's 1533-position model. The record is from RNAcentral.